GACGAACGCUGGCGGUGUGCUUAAGACAUGCAAGUCGUGCGGACCGUAGCAAUACGGUCAGCGGCGGACGGGUGAGUAACACGUGGAUAACCUGCCUGGCUCCCCGGGAUAACAGGCCGAAAGGCCUGCUAAUACCGGGUAAGCUCACGGGGCCGCAUGGUCCUGGGAGAAAAGCUCCUGCAAGGGAGUGGGGUCAGAGGGGUCCGCGGCCCAUUAGCUAGUUGGGGGGGUAACGGCCCACCAAGGCGACGAUGGGUAGCCGGCCUGAGAGGGCGACCGGCCACACUGGGACUGAGACACGGCCCAGACUCCUACGGGAGGCAGCAGUCGGGAAUUUUGGGCAAUGGCCGAAAGGGCUGACCCAGCAACACCGCGUGAGUGAAGAAGGCCUUCGGGUUGUAAAGCUCUGUUGCCCGUGAAGAACGGUGCUUUCAGGAAAUGGGAAGCACUUGACGGUAGCGGGUGAGGAAGCUCCGGCUAACUACGUGCCAGCAGCCGCGGUAAUACGUAGGGAGCGAGCGUUGUCCGGAUUUAUUGGGCGUAAAGGGCGUGUAGGCGGCUUUUUAAGUCUGAAGUGAAACGCCAGGGCUCAACCCUGGAACUGCUUCGGAUACUGGGAAGCUUGAGUACUCUAGAGGGCAGUGGAAUUCCGGGUGUAGCAGUGAAAUGCGUAGAGAUCCGGAGGAACACCAGUGGCGAAGGCGACUGCCUGGGGAGAAACUGACGCUGAGGCGCGAAAGCUGGGGGAGCAAACGGGAUUAGAUACCCCGGUAGUCCCAGCCGUAAACGAUGAGUGCUAGGUGUAGGGGGUAUCGACCCCCCCUGUGCCGGAGUUAACGCAAUAAGCACUCCGCCUGGGGAGUACGGCCGCAAGGUUG
RNAcentral lists this ribosomal RNA (878 nucleotides) under uncultured bacterium. Its description in RNAcentral is "bacterial SSU rRNA". It matches the Rfam family "Bacterial small subunit ribosomal RNA", at positions 28 to 896 of the family's 1533-position model. The record is from RNAcentral.